AAGAAAUGCAACUCACAGGGUCUUCAGAAAAUCAGGACACCUUUCAAGGCAGCCAGUCUAACCUUUGGCAGAACUGUUACAUUAAUCUUCCUUAAAGAGAAUGUUGUGGGUGCCACAACAGGCCUGUUGGAACCUCUCCAGAAACUGUGGCAUAUGUAUUAAACUAAGCUUGAGCAAGGGAAAGAAGAAGGAAGAAUAUCAGUACUUCAGAGAAUCUAUGUUUGUGAGGCCAUGGACUAGGGUUGGAAAGAAUGAGGGUCAUGAAUGGAGGUGAUCUUCAGUGUUGGAAAGAGAAUCCACAUUGACGAGAUCAACAGAUUCAUCAAAAUAUUGAGAUAUGAAUUGUCAUCAUUCAUCACCAAAUGACUAAGAGCCUCUUUGGAUUUAGUUAAGCUGUUCUUCAGAAAACAGGCAUGGGUUAUUUGCAAGUAUACUAAAAUUAUGCUAAAAUCUACCAAAGUUUGUUCUACAUUA
This 474-nucleotide long non-coding RNA is filed under the name Monodelphis domestica (gray short-tailed opossum). Its description in RNAcentral is "lncRNA (ENSMODG00000048737.1)". The record is from RNAcentral. Lineage: Eukaryota; Metazoa; Chordata; Mammalia; Didelphimorphia; Didelphidae.